This 827-nucleotide ribosomal RNA is filed under the name uncultured bacterium. Its description in RNAcentral is "bacterial SSU rRNA". It matches the Rfam family "Bacterial small subunit ribosomal RNA", at positions 61 to 854 of the family's 1533-position model. The record is from RNAcentral.
GUCGAACGAAACUUCUUUAUCACCGAGUGCUUGCACUCACCGAUAAAGAGUUGAGUGGCGAACGGGUGAGUAGCACGUGGGCAACCUGCCCAAAAGAGGGGGAUAACACUUGGAAACAGGUGCUAAUACCGCAUAACCAUAGUUACCGCAUGGUAACUAUGUAAAAGGUGGCUAUGCUACCGCUUUUGGAUGGGCCCGCGGCGCAUUAGCUAGUUGGUGGGGUAAAGGCUUACCAAGGCAAUGAUGCGUAGCCGAACUGAGAGGUUGAUCGGCCACAUUGGGACUGAGACACGGCCCAAACUCCUACGGGAGGCAGCAGUAGGGAAUCUUCCACAAUGGGCGAAAGCCUGAUGGAGCAACGCCGCGUGGGUGAAGAAGGUCUUCGGAUCGUAAAACCCUGUUGUUAGAGAAGAAAGUGCGUGAGAGUAACUGUUCACGUUUCGACGGUAUCUAACCAGAAAGCCACGGCUAACUACGUGCCAGCAGCCGCGGUAAUACGUAGGUGGCAAGCGUUAUCCGGAUUUAUUGGGCGUAAAGGGAACGCAGGCGGUCUUUUAAGUCUGAUGUGAAAGCCUUCGGCUUAACCGGAGUAGUGCAUUGGAAACUGGGAGACUUGAGUGCAGAAGAGGAGAGUGGAACUCCAUGUGUAGCGGUGAAAUGCGUAGAUAUAUGGAAGAACACCAGUGGCGAAAGCGGCUCUCUGGUCUGUAACUGACGCUGAGGUUCGAAAGCGUGGGUAGCAAACAGGAUUAGAUACCCUGGUAGUCCACGCCGUAAACGAUGAAUGCUAAGUGUUGGAGGGUUUCCGCCCUUCAGUGCUGCAGCUA